ACCCGCUGAACUUAAGCAUAUCAAUAAGCGGAGGAAAAGAAACCAACAGGGAUUGCCCUAGUAACGGCGAGUGAAGCGGCAACAGCUCAAAUUUGAAAUCUGGCGUCUUUGGCGUCCGAGUUGUAAUUUGCAGAGGGCGCUUUGGCAUUGGCAGCGGUCCAAGUUCCUUGGAACAGGACGUCACAGAGGGUGAGAAUCCCGUACGUGGUCGCUAGCCUUUACCGUGUAAAGCCCCUUCGACGAGUCGAGUUGUUUGGGAAUGCAGCUCUAAAUGGGAGGUAAAUUUCUUCUAAAGCUAAAUACUGGCCAGAGACCGAUAGCGCACAAGUAGAGUGAUCGAAAGAUGAAAAGCACUUUGAAAAGAGAGUUAAACAGUAUGUGAAAUUGUUGAAAGGGAAGCGCUGGCAACCAGACUCGUGCGCGGGGUUCCCCCUUGCUUCUGCUUGGGUUAUUUCCCCGUGUCCGGGCCAUCAUCAGUUUUGGGGGCCGGUUAAAGGUCUUGGGAAUGUAUCUACUCCUUCGGGGGUAGACUUAUAGCCCAGGGCGUCAUGCGGCCACCCGGGACUGAGGAACGCGCUUCGGCGAGGAUGAUGGCGUAAUGGUUGU
RNAcentral lists this ribosomal RNA (606 nucleotides) under uncultured fungus. RNAcentral describes it as "eukaryotic LSU rRNA". It matches the Rfam family "Eukaryotic large subunit ribosomal RNA", at positions 23 to 641 of the family's 3401-position model. The record is from RNAcentral. Lineage: Eukaryota; Fungi.